GUAAUCAAGCAUCAGAGGAGCCUGAGCGUAAUGUUAAUGUUCUGAGUGCUUCUGAAGUGACAGGAAGUGGUGCAUAUGCCCAGGGACAAAGCCAAGUUGAGGAGCAGAACCACAGUAGCUUGAGGAAGGAAUAGGUGAGAGUGAUCCACCUGCCUCGGCCUCCCAAAGUGCUGGGAUUACAGGCGUGAGCCACCGCGUCCAGCCAAUUGGUGGGUUCCUGGUCUCACUGACUUCAAGAAUGAAGCCACGGACCCUCGCAAUGCUGUUACGAACUUCCCUUAGAAUCAACCCAUUUGUGAAACACCACAUUAAUAAGAGCAGUAUCUUUGGAGAUUGGAGAGUCCACCAAGGAUGCCCACUGGCUCCCUACAAAGUUUUUUAUGUGAGGACUCGGUCUCAGGCUCAGAAGUGGAAGAGAUGUGCCUUGACUCAGAUGAGACUUUGGACUUGGACUUUUGAGUUAAUUCUGGAAUGAGUUAAAACUUUAGGGGACUGUUG
This 498-nucleotide long non-coding RNA is filed under the name Homo sapiens (human). Its description in RNAcentral is "HSALNT0313287". The record is from RNAcentral. Lineage: Eukaryota; Metazoa; Chordata; Mammalia; Primates; Hominidae.